Lepisosteus oculatus (spotted gar) is the source of this 119-nucleotide ribosomal RNA. NCBI's taxonomy places the organism in Eukaryota, Metazoa, Chordata, Actinopteri, Semionotiformes, Lepisosteidae. The record is from Rfam.
GCCAGCAGCCAUAUCACUCUGCAACUCACAACUGGCAGCCCACUGAAGCUAAGCAGGUGUGAGCCUGGUCAGUACCUGGAUGGGAGACCUCCUGGGAAAAACUAAGGUUGCUGCUUGGC